Molecule: transfer RNA, 74 nt
Filed under: Mucilaginibacter oryzae
Lineage: Bacteria; Pseudomonadati; Bacteroidota; Sphingobacteriia; Sphingobacteriales; Sphingobacteriaceae
Also listed under: 1 other name
Description: tRNA-Gln
Rfam family: tRNA
About the family: Transfer RNA (tRNA) molecules are approximately 80 nucleotides in length. Their secondary structure includes four short double-helical elements and three loops (D, anti-codon, and T loops). Further hydrogen bonds mediate the characteristic L-shaped molecular structure. tRNAs have two regions of fundamental functional importance: the anti-codon, which is responsible for specific mRNA codon recognition, and the 3' end, to which the tRNAs corresponding amino acid is attached (by aminoacyl-tRNA synthetases). tRNAs cope with the degeneracy of the genetic code in two manners: having more than one tRNA (with a specific anti-codon) for a particular amino acid; and 'wobble' base-pairing, i.e. permitting non-standard base-pairing at the 3rd anti-codon position.
Source: RNAcentral
UUUCCUAUGGUGUAAUGGUAUCACGUCAGAUUCUGGCUCUGAAGAUUGAGGUUCGAGCCCUUGUAGGAAAACCA